UACGUAGGGUGCGAGCGUUAAUCGGAAUUACUGGGCGUAAAGCGUGCGCAGGCGGGCUUUUAAGCCAGACGUGAAAUCCCCGGGCUUAACCUGGGAAUGGCGUUUGGGACUGGAAGUCUGGAGUGCGGCAGAGGAGACUGGAAUUCCUGGUGUAGCAGUGAAAUGCGUAGAUAUCAGGAGGAACACCGAUGGCGAAGGCAGUUCUCUGGGCCGUAACUGACGCUGAGGAGCGAAAGCGUGGGGAGCGAACAGG
Molecule: ribosomal RNA, 253 nt
Filed under: uncultured bacterium
Lineage: Bacteria
Description: partial 16S ribosomal RNA
Rfam family: Bacterial small subunit ribosomal RNA
Source: RNAcentral